AUUAAGGAUCAAAUCAGUGCUUGCUUUGGAACAAUACAGGGAAGAUUAGCAUGGUCCCUGUGCAAGGAUGACAUGCAAAUUUGUGAAGUGUUCCAUAUUUUU
Molecule: small nuclear RNA, 102 nt
Filed under: Procavia capensis (Cape rock hyrax)
Lineage: Eukaryota; Metazoa; Chordata; Mammalia; Hyracoidea; Procaviidae
Source: RNAcentral